This 1087-nucleotide ribosomal RNA is filed under the name Pseudoalteromonas sp. Fv13. Its description in RNAcentral is "bacterial SSU rRNA". It matches the Rfam family "Bacterial small subunit ribosomal RNA", at positions 8 to 1091 of the family's 1533-position model. Lineage: Bacteria; Pseudomonadati; Pseudomonadota; Gammaproteobacteria; Alteromonadales; Pseudoalteromonadaceae. The record is from RNAcentral.
AGAGUUUGAUCCUGGGUCAGAUUGAACGCUGGCGGCAGGCCUAACACAUGCAAGUCGAGCGGUAACAGAGAGUAGCUUGCUACUUUGCUGACGAGCGGCGGACGGGUGAGUAAUGCUUGGGAACAUGCCUUGAGGUGGGGGACAACAGUUGGAAACGACUGCUAAUACCGCAUAAUGUCUACGGACCAAAGGGGGCUUCGGCUCUCGCCUUUAGAUUGGCCCAAGUGGGAUUAGCUAGUUGGUGAGGUAAUGGCUCACCAAGGCGACGAUCCCUAGCUGGUUUGAGAGGAUGCUCAGCCACACUGGGACUGAGACACGGCCCAGACUCCUACGGGAGGCAGCAGUGGGGAAUAUUGCACAAUGGGCUCAAGCCUGAUGCAGCCAUGCCGCGUGUGUGAAGAAGGCCUUCGGGUUGUAAAGCACUUUCAGUCAGGAGGAAUGGUUAGUAGUUAAUACCUGCUAGCUGUGACGUUACUGACAGAAGAAGCACCGGCUAACUCCGUGCCAGCAGCCGCGGUAAUACGGAGGGUGCGAGCGUUAAUCGGAAUUACUGGGCGUAAAGCGUACGCAGGCGGUUUGUUUAGCGAGAUGUGAAAGCCCUGGGCUCAACCUGGGAACUGCAUUUCGAACUGGCAAACUAGAGUAUGAUAGAGGGUGGUAGAAUUUCAGGUGUAGCGGUGAAAUGCGUAGAGAUCUGAAGGAAUACCGAUGGCGAAGGCAGCCACCUGGGUCAACGCUGACGCUCAUGUACGAAAGCGUGGGGAGCAAACGGGAUUAGAUCCCCCGGUAGUCCACGCCGUAAACGAUGUCUACUAGAAGCUCGGGUCCUCGGACUUGUUUUUCAAAGCUAACGCAUUAAGUAGACCGCCUGGGGAGUACGGCCGCAAGGUUAAAACUCAAAUGAAUUGACGGGGGCCCGCACAAGCGGUGGAGCAUGUGGUUUAAUUCGAUGCUACGCGAAGAACCUUACCUACACUUGACAUACAGAGAACUUACCAGAGAUGGUUUGGUGCCUUCGGGAACUCUGAUACAGGUGCUGCAUGGCUGUCGUCAGCUCGUGUUGUGAGAUCUUGGGUUAAGUCCCGGA